RNAcentral lists this ribosomal RNA (484 nucleotides) under uncultured bacterium. Its description in RNAcentral is "partial 16S ribosomal RNA". It matches the Rfam family "Bacterial small subunit ribosomal RNA", at positions 30 to 507 of the family's 1533-position model. The record is from RNAcentral.
AUUGAACGCUGGCGGAAUGCUUUACACAUGCAAGUCGAACGGCAGCACGGGGGCAACCCUGGUGGCGAGUGGCGAACGGGUGAGUAAUACAUCGGAACGUGCCCGGUCGUGGGGGAUAACGUAGCGAAAGUUACGCUAAUACCGCAUACGAUCUGAGGAUGAAAGCGGGGGACCUUCGGGCCUCGCGCGAUCGGAGCGGCCGAUGUCAGAUUAGGUAGUUGGUGGGGUAAAGGCCUACCAAGCCGACGAUCUGUAGCUGGUCUGAGAGGACGACCAGCCACACUGGGACUGAGACACGGCCCAGACUCCUACGGGAGGCAGCAGUGGGGAAUUUUGGACAAUGGGCGCAAGCCUGAUCCAGCCAUUCCACGUGCAGGACGAAGGCCUUCGGGUUGUAAACUGCUUUUGUAUGGAACGAAAAGGCUCUGGCUAAUACCCGGGGCUCAUGACGGUACCGUAAGAAUAAGCACCGGCUAACUACGUG